Oreochromis niloticus (Nile tilapia) is the source of this 692-nucleotide long non-coding RNA. RefSeq lists it as uncharacterized. Lineage: Eukaryota; Metazoa; Chordata; Actinopteri; Cichliformes; Cichlidae. The record is from RefSeq and is a predicted model, not a curated record. The transcript is spliced from 5 exons.
GAUCUGCUGCAGGGCGUUCCUUUGUGGCAAGGUGCAGCUACACUUAGGCCAGCCAUGCAUACAUGUAGUGGAUUAGAUUUCGUAGAUGUUUGAUUCAUGCAUGGUGUCUGUGAUCGCAGCAUGAACCUUCACCCCCACCUUAGCUCUUAAUCAGAGGCUGGUUAUAAGGAGCAGCUGUGGCCUACUCCUGAUCCCUGGCGGCUUGCACUCAUUCCUGUUGAAGAUGCGGACAGCUCUCUCUACCUGCUGUUGGAUUAGUGUCAUCGCUGUAGCCCUUGUGAUGCUCUUAUCUGCACCUGAAGCUGGUUCUGCAUCAGUAGGCCUACGCUGCUGUCAUAAGAGCGCCAUAUUGAAGAAGCCCGAGGGGAUCCAGGAGUGCUUUGAACAGAUAAAACGACACAGCUGCCAUCACCAUGCCUUUGUGAUUGUGACUGAAAGAAAGAGCCUUUGUGUCAGCCCAAAUACCAAAUGGCUCAAGAAGCUUACUGAGACGGGAGAACUACAGUGUCCUAAAAGCAUCUCCUACAAACACAGAUAUGAAUUCCUGGAUGAAGAUGAAUAGCAAACUGAGACCAUAGAGAAGCAUCAAUAAAAUAAAAAAUGCUGAUUUUCUUCUCACAGCUUCCACAGGCUCAUGUCAAAAGUUGUUACUGAGAAUAAAUGAUCAAUUUAAAAAGGUGACUCUCUUUUUC